Molecule: ribosomal RNA, 1180 nt
Filed under: Salmonella enterica subsp. enterica serovar Newport
Lineage: Bacteria; Pseudomonadati; Pseudomonadota; Gammaproteobacteria; Enterobacterales; Enterobacteriaceae
Description: bacterial LSU rRNA
Rfam family: Bacterial large subunit ribosomal RNA
Source: RNAcentral
GGGUUGUGAGGUUAAGCGACUAAGCGUACACGGUGGAUGCCCUGGCAGUCAGAGGCGAUGAAGGACGUGCUAAUCUGCGAUAAGCGCCGGUAAGGUGAUAUGAACCGUUAUAACCGGCGAUUUCCGAAUGGGGAAACCCAGUGUGAUUCGUCACACUAUCAUUAACUGAAUCCAUAGGUUAAUGAGGCGAACCGGGGGAACUGAAACAUCUAAGUACCCCGAGGAAAAGAAAUCAACCGAGAUUCCCCCAGUAGCGGCGAGCGAAUGGGGAGGAGCCCAGAGCCUGAAUCAGCAUGUGUGUUAGUGGAAGCGUCUGGAAAGGCGCGCGAUACAGGGUGACAGCCCCGUACACAAAAGCGCAUGUGCUGUGAGCUCGAUGAGUAGGGCGGGACACGUGGUAUCCUGUCUGAAUAUGGGGGGACCAUCCUCCAAGGCUAAAUACUCCUGACUGACCGAUAGUGAACCAGUACCGUGAGGGAAAGGCGAAAAGAACCCCGGCGAGGGGAGUGAAAAAGAACCUGAAACCGUGUACGUACAAGCAGUGGGAGCACAGGUUUACCUGUGUGACUGCGUACCUUUUGUAUAAUGGGUCAGCGACUUAUAUUCUGUAGCAAGGUUAACCGUAUAGGGGAGCCGUAGGGAAACCGAGUCUUAACCGGGCGUUAAGUUGCAGGGUAUAGACCCGAAACCCGGUGAUCUAGCCAUGGGCAGGUUGAAGGUUGGGUAACACUAACUGGAGGACCGAACCGACUAAUGUUGAAAAAUUAGCGGAUGACCUGUGGCUGGGGGUGAAAGGCCAAUCAAACCGGGAGAUAGCUGGUUCUCCCCGAAAGCUAUUUAGGUAGCGCCUCGUGAACUCAUCUCCGGGGGUAGAGCACUGUUUCGGCUAGGGGGCCAUCCCGGCUUACCAACCCGAUGCAAACUGCGAAUACCGGAGAAUGUUAUCACGGGAGACACACGGCGGGUGCUAACGUCCGUCGUGAAGAGGGAAACAACCCAGACCGCCAGCUAAGGUCCCAAAGUCAUGGUUAAGUGGGAAACGAUGUGGGAAGGCCCAGACAGCCAGGAUGUUGGCUUAGAAGCAGCCAUCAUUUAAAGAAAGCGUAAUAGCUCACUGGUCGAGUCGGCCUGCGCGGAAGAUGUAACGGGGCUAAACCAUGCACCGAAGCUGCGGCAGCGA